AGUCUUGAUCCGGGCUCACAAUCAACGCUGGCGGCGUGCCUAACACAUGCAAGUCGAACGAGAAAGUGGAGCAAUCCAUGAGUAAAGUGGCGACCGGGUGAGUAACACGUGACUAACCUACCUUCGAGUGGGGGAUAACCUCGGGAAACCGGGGCUAAUACCGCAUAAUGCCUUUGGGUUAAAGGAGCAAUUCGCUUGAAGAGGGGGUCGCGGCCGAUUAGGUAGUUGGCGGGGUAACGGCCCACCAAGCCCGUGAUCGGUAGCCGGCCUGAGAGGGCGCACGGCCACACUGGAACUGAAACACGGUCCAGACUCCUACGGGAGGAAGCAGUGGGGAAUUUUGCGCAAUGGGGGAAACCCUGACGCAGCAACGCCCCGUGGAGGAUGAAGUCCUUUGGGACGUAAACUCCUUUCGACCGGGACGAUUAUGACGGUACCGGUGGAAGAAGCCCCGGCUAACUUCGUGCCAGCAGCCGCGGUAAUA
RNAcentral lists this ribosomal RNA (484 nucleotides) under uncultured soil bacterium. Its description in RNAcentral is "bacterial SSU rRNA". It matches the Rfam family "Bacterial small subunit ribosomal RNA", at positions 10 to 525 of the family's 1533-position model. The record is from RNAcentral.